AUUGAACGCUGGCGGCAUGCUUUACACAUGCAAGUCGAACGGCAGCACGGACUUCGGUCUGGUGGCGAGUGGCGAACGGAUGAGUAAUGCAUCGGAAUGUACCGUGUAAUGGGGGAUAACAAGCCGAAAGGAUAGCUAAUACCGCAUACGCCCCGAGGGGGAAAGCAGGGGAUCUUCGGACCUUGCGUUAUACGAGCAGC
Molecule: ribosomal RNA, 200 nt
Filed under: uncultured bacterium
Lineage: Bacteria
Description: partial 16S ribosomal RNA
Rfam family: Bacterial small subunit ribosomal RNA
Source: RNAcentral